AGUUGUGGUAGUUUCUUUCUGGUACAUUUGUUAAGUUUUCAAAUGGGCCUAACUCUGCCACAUAUAUUGGAAGGAGCUGGCAAAGGCUUAAAGACAGAAAGAUCUCUCUUGAGCUUUCGUGUAUUGAUAUUAGCUCUUAUAGUA
Molecule: small nucleolar RNA, 144 nt
Organism: Fukomys damarensis (Damara mole-rat)
Lineage: Eukaryota; Metazoa; Chordata; Mammalia; Rodentia; Bathyergidae
Source: Ensembl